AUUAAGCAUGGCAGACACAGAGUAUGUACCCAAUAAAUAAUAGGUAUAAUUGUGCUCAUCCACACUCUCAUCAAUUACCUGGCAAAAAUUCUAUUCAAGGGCUAGGACUCUGCUACUCCACUCCAAUCCUCUUCAGUUCCACUAUGUUUACCUCAGUUCCCCAACCAAAUGGGUAACAGCUGGUUUUGCAUGAAAGUGAGCAACUAUGGAGGCAGAGGAUUGUCUCCUCACGUACUCGGGAUGAAUUCUACCCCGAGGCACCACACCCUUGUUGGGCCAACUGCACAGAAUUCUGUGCAUGCACGACUAUCAAGUGUUUAUCUAUUGCCCCAGAAGCAAGCUUCUCUAAACCUGGUGCUUGUUUCUCUCCUAUGCUUCCAUCUCCUGUUGACCUCCCUUCCAAUUCUUUCCAAUGUGCCUCAUGGAAUUUUCAUUCUGUUAUGAGUAACCCUCUGUUGAUCUCCUAGUUUUCAUUAAACGUUGUCUGUGCUUCAAGAACACUGAAUAUCUUUUUGCUGUGUUAAAUCCAAAGCUUAGUCAUUGGUCCUCAUCUUAGUUGAAUCCUCAGUACUUUCGCUACUACCACCCUUGUACAAGCUGCUACCUUUUUUUUUUUUUUGCCUGAAAUGAUACAGUAGUGUAUAAACCAAGUAUCUCUGCUUGCAUCGUCAUCUGCCUGUCAUGUAUGCUCAAUGUAGUAACCACAGUGAUCCUUAUAAAAGUAAAGUCAGGUAAAUGUCACUCCUUGGCUACUUCAGGUCAGGGACCAUGUCAUUUUUUUUUUUCCCUCUGUAUCUCCAGGGCUUAUCGCUGAAACUUAGCAGGCACUCAGUAAAUAUUUUGCUAAGCAGUUAAAACUAAGAGAAGAAAGAGGAGGGAGAAAUAUGGUAAUCACUUACCACAUCCUCUUUUAACCUCUUGAAUAUCUUACCAAUGUCUUCUUUUGUUCUUACUUUCACAUCAUUUGAUUUGAUAAAACAAAACUAUUAUCUAGAGAGGUAAGGCAGACUUGUGAACUGGACCCGUAGAAGUUAAGUGAUGUCCCUGUUUGCAGUGUCAAUGAGAUUGAGGGCUUGGGCUUGAACCCAACCUUCUCCCUCCAAAUAGCCUGCUCUUUCUGUUAUGUCAUGUUUCAUAUACAAGUUUGGGAGCCUCCAGCCCUGACUAUCCCAACAUAUACAACAUAAUGUAUAUGUUGUCUUUGGAAAUAUCUUCUGUGAAGGCCAAGCAUUUAAUAUUACAGGAAACCUUGAAGUGGAUAUGGAAGCUUGGCAGCCAGCUUGGAUCUUCCUAAGAGCCUCUUUCCUUCAUACCAUCUUCAGAGUAUAACUCCUACUUGAAGAGUGUGAGAGAAUAUUUACUACUCGGAUGUUUGAGACAUACCAAAAAAUGCUUUUUGAUCCUUUAUCAAGAAGACGUAAUGACCAAGAUUGAUAAAGAAAAAUGCAAUGGUUACUUUACCUGCAACCAUCUCAAAGACGCUCUAAUGUCAUUUCAGAGGACUUCAGCCAUGAACUUGGUGAUGAGCCAGAGAAGGUAACUUUUCAUCCCCUACAAGACCUCCCAGAGGCCUUUAUUCUUCUUACAGCGAUUCUGCUGUGAAUUCGUACGGAAUGGGCUCCAGCAGCUCAGGCUACUUUCCACUGGGUCUCACAAAGUGUGCUUCUCGAAGCAGGCUGGGGCUUCCCUUGAACCCAGAUUCCCACUUAUGUACCUAAAGGAGCAACUCCAUGUUUUCCAAAAGGCCUGAAAAACAUAUAGCAGAUUCCAUGUUGCAGCUAACCUUAAAGAAAUCAUCACUUGGAACUGAUUCAGAAUCCCAUAUCACAUUUUGUUAUUACUUUUGCCUGGUCUCCUGCUGUCUGGAACAGUUUUUCAGUCUUCCUUCAUUUUCAAGAGUGUGAAAGGAUCCCAAGACCAAAAGUCUGGGAACUGCUGGUUUAGAGUCACAAUACUGACUGCUCAAAAUGACUUUUUAAAGAAGAAAGCCUUAAAAACCCUUGAGUGAAUGGUUGGUAUUUACAGACAAGCAAAUGUAUGGAAGAGAAACGAGAGACCCAGCCUGAAUCUGUUGAAUGAACGAAAGGGGAAAUGCCCUAAGGAGUCAGAUGGAAGAAGUUUUUCUGGGAAGAGCAGAACACAGGAGUUGGGGUGCAGACCUCCUGGAUCACCAGCAGAAGGAAAAGAGCAGUGAGACGUUAAAGUGAUUGAGACAAAAAUGGAAGUAAAACAGCUUAAGGCUUUCUGAGAUCGAGUUCCUGGCAGUGUCAUCAGCAGAUGGUUUCUUCUGAAGUUCAGGGGAAGAGAAGAUGCUCGAAGAACUCUCCAGGGACUGAGUGGGUGGUACAGAGCUAGUGCUGUAGAUGCCAUGUAUACAGGCAAAUUCCCCAAUGAGUGUUUUCCAAUAUCAAGUUUAACUGGCAUUUAAGAUAUAUGCCAAAGGUAGGUAAAUUAUUUUGGCCUGUGCUUAUAGGUUUAUUUCCCUGGAUGAAGCUUUCUGUCUCUGUCCUAGUGCACUGUAGCAGAUGCAGGGUCUUUCCAUACAAUACAUUAAAAGCUGCAUCUCAUUUUAAAUAUAUUAUAGAAACCCUGAUCAUACAAUACAUACAAGAUUUUUAAGAUCAGCCUUCAGUCGAUUUUUUUGCUUUAUUUUUGUUCUGGAGGUCAAAAUGAGUGGUUAACUGUCUAAGUUGAUUGCAGAGAAAGUUACUACUCAUUCUAAACGUAGGUUUUUAGAAAAGUGUUCUUGGCAGUUGCUACCAUUGGCUUUUUCCAACUUACAUGGGAAUCAAGAUUCAGAACUGGUACACCAAUGGGAAGAGCCUGGAAAAUAGACUAUUGAUCAAGAUGAAUCUGGUCCAGAUACUUUAAGACCUUUUCAGUGUGUUUUUAAGAUUAUAAGUUUGAACUAACAGAAACUUCAAUGCUGUUUUUUCACAAGUCAAUGUGUAGUGUACUGUUAUUCUUUUUUUUCCUGUAAUAUCUUAAUAAUAUUCCUGGCUGUAAGAAAAAGUUAACACUAUACCUAUGUUUUGACUUACUUUAUAGAAGACCCAAACAAUAUUUAACAAAAGGAUUUUUCUCAAAUACUAUUUUGAAAUCACUAUAUUAGACACUAUCUUAAAUUUAUUUCUCAAUUUGCUUCUUUUUGAAACUUCCACAUUUUGGUGUUCUUUUCAGCAUCACUCAUUUUCUUUCAUAAUAAAGAUACCCAAUAACAAUAUCAUAAUAAAGAUUUGAUAACAAAUCUCCAGUUUUGGAGUGUUACAUUUCAUAUCUACAUGCUUACAGAGAAUUUAGUAUGAAUAUUCCCUGGCCUUAGUUCCUCUAAGCCUAGGAUACUUGUAGUCAUUUGGCAAAUAAUUUAAUCCAUGGCAAACAUGAGUCUUAAUACAAAAAUUAUUGAGUAGGCAAAAAAUAAUUGAACAUAUUUUGGACUGAUUACCAGUGCAUUAAAAAAGUAGAGGUUUAAGGAUGAGAAUAAUAAGUUUUUUUGUUUUUACUUAAAUUUAUAUAAAAGGAGUGAAAAUACAGUAGCCUAUAGUACUUAAGAGUGUGGGUAUAUUUUCAGCACUUAAUAAUUACUAGUUGAAUUGCAUAAUAUGGGACUAUAACUGAUAUGGUUUGGCUCUGUGUCCCCGCCCAAAUCUCAUGUUGAAUUAUAAUUUCCAAUAUUGGAGGAGGUACCUAGUGGGAGGUGACUGGAUCAUUGGGGGAAAUUUCCCCCUUGCUGUCCUCAUGAUAGUGAGUGAGUUCUCACAAGAUCUGAUGGUUUAAAAGUGUGUGGCAUUUCCCCCUUUACUCUUUCUCUCUCCUGCUGGCCAUGAGAAUAAGUGCUUGCUUCCCAUUCACCUUCUGCCAUGCUUGUGUUUCCUGAGGCUUCCCAGCCAUGCUUCUUGUUCAAGCUGCAGAACUGUGAGUCAAUUAAACCUCAUUUCUUCAUAAAUUACCCAGUCUCAGCUCUUUAUGGGAGUGUGAGAAUGGACUAAUAAAAUAUCUCUAGAAUUAUGUUUUUGGAGAUAAUUUAAAGAUAAACAAAUAUUGGAAACCUCAUUUGAUCACACAGAGAACAGUAAAUGGAAGUUCUACUUUUUCUCCAGGGCCUUUCUCAUGCUUAUGCAGGGAUUAUUCACCCAGAUAUCCUGAAAUAAGACAUCCAAUUAAGGUACCUGCUAUCUCAUGUAACACAGAAGAAAGUUGAGCAUAGAGGUUAAACAUUACCUAAUAUUGUUGGAAAAGCUUCGAAGCGUUCAUUUUCAAAGCAGCUAAUGUAAACCAUGAUAAUCACUAGUAGCACUAUGCCAUUUUAAAUACUUCAAUAUUUUGUAGUUAUUAGAUUCUAAGUAAGUAUAAAAUGUAGUGAAUACAAAUUUUAUUUGCCUAAACAGUGUUAGACAAUAUAAAUUAACGAGUUAUUUUUUAUUCUGUUUAAUAUUUUCAAGCCAAUAAACACUUUACUAAAGUA
This 4465-nucleotide long non-coding RNA is filed under the name Homo sapiens (human). RNAcentral describes it as "HSALNT0374041". Lineage: Eukaryota; Metazoa; Chordata; Mammalia; Primates; Hominidae. The record is from RNAcentral.